This 253-nucleotide ribosomal RNA is filed under the name uncultured bacterium. RNAcentral's name for it is "partial 16S ribosomal RNA". It matches the Rfam family "Bacterial small subunit ribosomal RNA", at positions 524 to 776 of the family's 1533-position model. The record is from RNAcentral.
UACGUAGGUGGCAAGCGUUGUCCGGAUUUAUUGGGUUUAAAGGGCGCGUAGGCGGGCGGGCAAGUCAGGGGUGAAAUCCCACGGCUCAACCGUGGAAGUGCCUUUGAUACUGCUUGUCUUGAGGGAGGUAGGGGCGUGCGGAACUUCCGGUGGAGCGGUGAAAUGCGUAGAUAUCGGAAGGAACACCGGUGGCGAAAGCGGCGCGCUGGACCUCUACUGACGCUGAGGCGCGAAAGCCAGGGGAGCAAACGGG